This 52-nucleotide non-coding RNA is filed under the name Palpitomonas bilix. The record is from RNAcentral.
AACACGCACAAAAAAAAAGAAAGGGAAAAAAAAGGAAAAUAUAAAGGUUGUG